UACAGAGGUGGCAAGCGUUGUUCGGAAUUACUGGGCGUAAAGCGCACGUAGGCGGAUUUGUAAGUCAGGGGUGAAAUCCCGGGGCUCAACCUCGGAACUGCCUUUGAUACUGCAAAUCUCGAGUCCGGAAGAGGUGAGUGGAAUUCCUAGUGUAGAGGUGAAAUUCGUAGAUAUUAGGAAGAACACCAGUGGCGAAGGCGGCUCACUGGUCCGGUACUGACGCUGAGGUGCGAAAGCGUGGGGAGCAAACAGG
This 253-nucleotide ribosomal RNA is filed under the name uncultured bacterium. RNAcentral describes it as "partial 16S ribosomal RNA". It matches the Rfam family "Bacterial small subunit ribosomal RNA", at positions 524 to 776 of the family's 1533-position model. The record is from RNAcentral.